GCUAGCUACAGGCUUAACACAUGCAAGUCGAGGGGAAACGACAUCGAAAGCUUGCUUUUGAUGGGCGUCGACCGGCGCACGGGUGAGUAACGCGUAUCCAACCUGCCCACCACUUGGGGAUAACCUUGCGAAAGUAAGACUAAUACCCAAUGAUAUCUCUAGAAGACAUCUGAAAGAGAUUAAAGAUUUAUCGGUGAUGGAUGGGGAUGCGUCUGAUUAGCUUGUUGGCGGGGUAACGGCCCACCAAGGCGACGAUCAGUAGGGGUCCUGAGAGGAAGGUCCCCCACAUUGGAACUGAGACACGGUCCAAACUCCUACGGGAGGCAGCAGUGAGGAAUAUUGGUCAAUGGGCGAGAGCCUGAACCAGCCAAGUAGCGUGCAGGAUGACGGCCCUAUGGGUUGUAAACUGCUUUUAUAAGGGAAUAAAGUGAGUCUCGUGAGACUUUUUGCAUGUACCUUAUGAAUAAGGACCGGCUAAUUCCGUGCCAGCAGCCGCGGUAAUACGGAAGGUCCGGGCGUUAUCCGGAUUUAUUGGGUUUAAAGGGAGCGUAGGCCGGAGAUUAAGCGUGUUGUGAAAUGUAGAUGCUCAACAUCUGAACUGCAGCGCGAACUGGUUUCCUUGAGUACGCACAAAGUGGGCGGAAUUCGUGGUGUAGCGGUGAAAUGCUUAGAUAUCACGAAGAACUCCGAUUGCGAAGGCAGCUCACUGGAGCGCAACUGACGCUGAAGCUCGAAAGUGCGGGUAUCGAACAGGAUUAGAUACCCUGGUAGUCCGCACGGUAAACGAUGGAUGCCCGCUGUUGGUCUGAAUAGGUCAGCGGCCAAGCGAAAGCAUUAAGCAUCCCACCUGGGGAGUACGCCGGCAACGGUGAAACUCAA
RNAcentral lists this ribosomal RNA (879 nucleotides) under uncultured bacterium. RNAcentral describes it as "bacterial SSU rRNA". It matches the Rfam family "Bacterial small subunit ribosomal RNA", at positions 35 to 904 of the family's 1533-position model. The record is from RNAcentral.